This 253-nucleotide ribosomal RNA is filed under the name uncultured bacterium. RNAcentral describes it as "partial 16S ribosomal RNA". It matches the Rfam family "Bacterial small subunit ribosomal RNA", at positions 524 to 776 of the family's 1533-position model. The record is from RNAcentral.
UACGUAGGGCGCGAGCGUUGUCCGGAAUUAUUGGGCGUAAAGAGCUCGUAGGCGGCCUGUUGCGUCUGCUGUGAAAACCCGGAGCUCAACUCCGGGCCUGCAGUCGAUACGGGCAGACUGGAGUUCGGCAGGGGAGACUGGAAUUCCUGGUGUAGCGGUGAAAUGCGCAGAUAUCAGGAGGAACACCGGUGGCGAAGGCGGGUCUCUGGGCCGAUACUGACGCUGAGGAGCGAAAGCGUGGGGAGCGAACAGG